RNAcentral lists this ribosomal RNA (468 nucleotides) under uncultured bacterium. RNAcentral describes it as "partial 16S ribosomal RNA". It matches the Rfam family "Bacterial small subunit ribosomal RNA", at positions 28 to 507 of the family's 1533-position model. The record is from RNAcentral.
GACGAACGCUGGCGGCGUGCUUAACACAUGCCAGUCGAACGGAAAGGCCCUGCUUUUGUGGGGUGCUCGAGUGGCGAACGGGUGAGUAACACGUGAGUAACCUGCCCUUGACUUUGGGAUAACUUCAGGAAACUGGGGCUAAUACCGGAUAGGAGCUCCUGCUGCAUGGUGGGGGUUGGAAAGUUUCGGCGGUUGGGGAUGGACUCGCGGCUUAUCAGCUUGUUGGUGGGGUAGUGGCUUACCAAGGCUUUGACGGGUAGCCGGCCUGAGAGGGUGACCGGCCACAUUGGGACUGAGAUACGGCCCAGACUCCUAAGGGAGGCAGCAGUGGGGAAUAUUGCACAAUGGGCGGAAGCCUGAUGCAGCAACGCCGCGUGCGGGAUGACGGCCUUCGGGUUGUAAACCGCUUUCGCCUGUGACGAAGCGUGAGUGACGGUAAUGGGUAAAGAAGCACCGGCUAACUACGUG